UACGUAGGGGGCUAGCGUUGUCCGGAUUUAUUGGGCGUAAAGAGCGUGUAGGCGGCCAGGUAGGUCUGGUGUGAAAACUCGAGGCUUAACCUCGAGAUGUCAUCGGAAACCAUCUGGCUAGAGUCCGGAAGAGGAGAGUGGAAUUCCUGGUGAAGCGGUGAAAUGCGCAGAUAUCAGGAAGAACACCAAUGGCGAAAGCAGCUCUCUGGGACGGUACUGACGCUGAGACGCGAAAGCGUGGGGAGCGAACAGG
This 253-nucleotide ribosomal RNA is filed under the name uncultured bacterium. RNAcentral describes it as "partial 16S ribosomal RNA". It matches the Rfam family "Bacterial small subunit ribosomal RNA", at positions 524 to 776 of the family's 1533-position model. The record is from RNAcentral.